CGACCAACCAACUGGAUUCCCCCGGCUGGAGAUCACUUUAAGAUUAACACUGAUGCCGCGGUGUCAAGAUGGGGAGGUAAGCGGGCUGUAGCAUCUAUAUGUCGUGAUGAACAAGGUAACUUUCUUGGAGCCUCUUCGGUUUUGGUCAACAAUAUAGAAGAUCUGGAGACUCUAGAAGUGAUGCCGAUUAGAGAAGCUAUGGCCUUAGCAAAUGAUCUAUAUAUCCAAAAAAUCUUAGUGGCAUCGGACUGUAAGAAUGCGGUCGAAGCAGUAAGAAAAGGAACCUCUUCAUCUUAUGGAGCGAUUGUGCUGGAGAUCAAAGAGUCAUCUAGAGCUUUUAUUUCUUGUAUUUUCUUACAUGAGUUUAAAACCUCGAAUAUCGAGGCACACAAACUAGUAAAGCAUACAUUAUCACUAGGGACCGGCCACCAUGUUUGGUUAGGUCACCCGGCAGACCUUUUCUUCGUCCGUGUAAACUGUGUGACAGUUGAAUAA
Molecule: ribosomal RNA, 495 nt
Filed under: Triticum aestivum (bread wheat)
Lineage: Eukaryota; Viridiplantae; Streptophyta; Magnoliopsida; Poales; Poaceae
Description: partial small subunit ribosomal RNA
Source: RNAcentral